GACGUCAACAUUCCAAAGCUGUCGUACGAUAACGAUAACAAAAGUUUGUCCUGUUUACAACAGGAAAUAAAUUUCUGAGUCACGUCGUGUUGAGAGGACGCAGUUACUGCUCAUUUAACUUUAUUAUCAUGGCAGAAGACAACUCAGACAGCCAGAAUGAUGAAAUCGAGGCUUUGUCCGCCAUUUAUGGUCUAGACUUCCACACAGAGAGUGUCGAGCACAAAUCCUAUAGUAUAGAGAUCGAGGAGGGUGAGCUGACAUCUCUCUUGCAGGUGACAAUGCCUCCAGACUAUCCGAGGACCUCUCCUCCCAUUUACAUGUUAAGUGCGCCAUGGCUGAAGGGAUUCAAGCGGCUUGAACUAUGUGGAUACUUGGAGGAAAUAUAUCUAGAAAAUGCUGGGGAGAGCAUCAUUUACAUGUGGGUGGAAAGGAUACGUCAGUUCAUGGUGGAGCACGGUGAAGUGAAUGAACAGGAGACUCAUGAUGACCAGAUUGCUACAUGUUUAGCAUCAGUAAAUCUCGAAGAUGAGACAGAUGACCUUUCACCAUGUCCCGAGAUAUUUUCCGGUGAGAUCAUCUCUGACCGCAAAAGUCACUUCCAACCACAUCUAGCAGCUGUAAAGUCACAAACUCAUGUCAGACAAGUUUUGAGGAAGCUGUAUGAGAACAAGAAGGUUGCAAAUGCAACUCAUAAUAUGUAUGCCUUCCGCUUUGUGCCUGAGGGAUCUUCUAACAUCAACCAAAACUGUGAGGAUGAUGGAGAAAUUCAUGCUGGGAGUCGCCUCUUGCACCUGCUCCAGAAUUGAGUGUUAUAAGGGACAAACUCUUCAAUAACAUCCUCAUCUUAACUUUGGUGUACCACCAAGCUUUAGCUAAAUAUGCCAAGCCUUUGAGAGCCAGCUCCCACCUUCUGGUAACCAGUUGGUCUGGCUCACUCUACAAGUUAAGAAGCGCUUGAGGAUAAGAGUGUGACCCAAAACUGAGAAAAACUCCACCAGAAAAUAUACAUGCAGCAAAGCAAGUGAUUGGUUGAAGAAAAUAAGUUACCCCCAAGAUACUUGAUGCCAAGGACGUUUUGGUUGUGGUAACAAGAUGGUACGGGGGCAUACACCUGGGGCCUGAUAGGUUUAAGCAUAUCAACAAUGCUGCUCGACAAAUUUUGGUCUCCUGUGGCUUCGUCGGCACACGAGAUGAUAAGGGCAAGAAAAAUAAAAAAGGAAAAUAAUAUACUAAA
This is an RNA transcript of Procambarus clarkii (red swamp crayfish), 1234 nucleotides long. It is a transcript of the gene named protein IMPACT-B, with no coding region annotated. The record is from RefSeq and is a predicted model, not a curated record. NCBI's taxonomy places the organism in Eukaryota, Metazoa, Arthropoda, Malacostraca, Decapoda, Cambaridae.